Molecule: ribosomal RNA, 496 nt
Filed under: uncultured bacterium
Lineage: Bacteria
Description: partial 16S ribosomal RNA
Rfam family: Bacterial small subunit ribosomal RNA
Source: RNAcentral
AUGAACGCUGGCGGCGUGCCUAAUACAUGCCCGUCGAGCGAACGGACGAGAAGCUUGCUUCUCUGAUGUUAGCGGCGGACGGGUGAGUAACCCGUGGAUAACCUACCUAUAAGACUGGGAUAACUUCGGGAAACCGUAGCUAAUACCGGAUAAUAUUUUGAACCGAAUGGUUCAAAAGUGAAAGACGGUCUUGCUGUCACUUAUAGAUGGAUCCGCGCUGCAUUAGCUAGUUGGCAAGGUAACGGCUUACCAAGGCAACGAUGCAUAGCCGACCUGAGAGGGUGAUCGGCCACACUGGAACUGAAACACGGUCCAGACUCCUACGGGAGGCAGCAGUAGGGAAUCUUCCGCAAUAGUCGAAAGCCUGACGGAGCAACGCCGCGUGAGUGAUGAAGGUCUUCGGAUCGUAAAACUCUGUUAUUAGGGAAGAACAUAUGUGUAAGUAACUGUGCACUUCUUGACGGUACCUAAUCAGAAAGCCACGGCUAACUACGUG